Molecule: ribosomal RNA, 740 nt
Filed under: Arthrobacter subterraneus
Lineage: Bacteria; Bacillati; Actinomycetota; Actinomycetes; Micrococcales; Micrococcaceae
Description: bacterial SSU rRNA
Rfam family: Bacterial small subunit ribosomal RNA
Source: RNAcentral
CAGCUUGCUGGGGGGAUUAGUGGCGAACGGGUGAGUAACACGUGAGUAACCUGCCCUUGACUCUGGGAUAAGCCUGGGAAACUGGGUCUAAUACUGGAUACGACCUUCCCACGCAUGUGGUGUUGGUGGAAAGCUUUUGUGGUUUUGGAUGGACUCGCGGCCUAUCAGCUUGUUGGUGGGGUAAUGGCCUACCAAGGCGACGACGGGUAGCCGGCCUGAGAGGGUGGACGGCCACACUGGGACUGAGACACGGCCCAGACUCCUACGGGAGGCAGCAGUGGGGAAUAUUGCACAAUGGGCGCAAGCCUGAUGCAGCGACGCCGCGUGAGGGAUGAAGGCCUUCGGGUUGUAAACCUCUUUCAGUAGGGAAGAAGCGAAAGUGACGGUACCUGCAGAAGAAGCGCCGGCUAACUACGUGCCAGCAGCCGCGGUAAUACGUAGGGCGCAAGCGUUAUCCGGAAUUAUUGGGCGUAAAGAGCUCGUAGGCGGUUUGUCGCGUCUGCCGUGAAAGUCCGGGGCUUAACUCCGGAUCUGCGGUGGGUACGGGCAGACUUGAGUGAUGUAGGGGAGACUGGAAUUCCUGGUGUAGCGGUGAAAUGCGCAGAUAUCAGGAGGAACACCGAUGGCGAAGGCAGGUCUCUGGGCAUUAACUGACGCUGAGGAGCGAAAGCAUGGGGAGCGAACAGGAUUAGAUACCCUGGUAGUCCAUGCCGUAAACGUUGGGCACUAGGUGUGGGGGA